This 493-nucleotide ribosomal RNA is filed under the name uncultured bacterium. RNAcentral's name for it is "partial 16S ribosomal RNA". It matches the Rfam family "Bacterial small subunit ribosomal RNA", at positions 30 to 523 of the family's 1533-position model. The record is from RNAcentral.
AUUGAACGCUGGCGGCAUGCUUUACACAUGCAAGUCGAACGGUAACAGGUUAAGCUGACGAGUGGCGAACGGGUGAGUAAUGCAUCGGAACGUGCCCGAUCGUGGGGGAUAACGCAGCGAAAGCUGCGCUAAUACCGCAUACGAUCUGAGGAUGAAAGCGGGGGACCGUAAGGCCUCGCGCGAUCGGAGCGGCCGAUGUCAGAUUAGGUAGUUGGUGGGGUAAAGGCUCACCAAGCCAACGAUCUGUAGCUGGUCUGAGAGGACGACCAGCAACACUGGGACUGAGGCACGGCCCAGACUCCUACGGGAGGCAGCAGUGGGGAAUUUUGAACAAGGGGCGAAAGCCUGAUCCAGCAAUGCCGCGUGCAGGAAGAAGGCCUUCGGGUUGUAAACUGCUUUUGUACGGAGCGAAAAGGUUCUCUCUAAUACAGAGGGCUCAUGACGGUACCGUAAGAAUAAGCACCGGCUAACUACGUGCCAGCCGCCGCCGUAA